AUACAGAGGGUGCGAGCGUUAAUCGGAAUUACUGGGCGUAAAGCGCGCGUAGGCGGCUUAUUAAGUCAGAUGUGAAAUCCCCGGGCUCAACCGGGGAACUGCAUCUGAUACUGGUAAGCUAGAGUUUUGGAGAGGGAAGUAGAAUUUCAGGUGUAGCGGUGAAAUGCAUAGAGAUCAGAAGGAAUACCAGUGGCGAAGGCGACUUCCUGGCCAAAAACUGACGCUGAGGUGCGAAAGCGUGGGUAGCAAACGGGAUUAGAAACCCCAGUAGUCC
RNAcentral lists this ribosomal RNA (274 nucleotides) under uncultured bacterium. Its description in RNAcentral is "partial 16S ribosomal RNA". It matches the Rfam family "Bacterial small subunit ribosomal RNA", at positions 523 to 796 of the family's 1533-position model. The record is from RNAcentral.